GAUGAACGCUGGCGGCGUGCCUAAUACAUGCAAGUCGAGCGAACGGACGAGAAGCUUGCUUCUCUGAUGUUAGCGGCGGACGGGUGAGUAACACGUGGAUAACCUACCUAUAAGACUGGGAUAACUUCGGGAAACCGGAGCUAAUACCGGAUGAUAUUUUGAACCGCAUGGUUCAAAAGUGAAAGACGGUCUUGCUGUCACUUAUAGAUGGAUCCGCGCUGCAUUAGCUAGUUGGUAAGGUAACGGCUUACCAAGGCAACGAUGCAUAGCCGACCUGAGAGGGUGAUCGGCCACGCUGGAACUGAGACACGGUCCAGACUCCUACGGGAGGCAGCAGUGGGGAAUCUUCCGCGAUGGGCGAAAGCCUGACGGAGCAACGCCGCGUGAGUGAUGAAGGUCUUCGGAUCGUAAGACUCUGUUAUUAGGGAAGAACAUAUGUGUAAGUAACUGUGCACAUCUUGACGGUACCUAAUCAGAAAGCCACGGCUAACUACGUG
This 497-nucleotide ribosomal RNA is filed under the name uncultured bacterium. Its description in RNAcentral is "partial 16S ribosomal RNA". It matches the Rfam family "Bacterial small subunit ribosomal RNA", at positions 28 to 507 of the family's 1533-position model. The record is from RNAcentral.